This 373-nucleotide unclassified non-coding RNA is filed under the name plant metagenome. RNAcentral's name for it is "partial contains 5.8S ribosomal RNA, internal transcribed spacer 2, and large subunit ribosomal RNA". The stretch from base 1 to 105 matches the Rfam family "5.8S ribosomal RNA", at positions 50 to 154 of the family's 154-position model. The record is from RNAcentral.
GAAAUGCGAUAAGUAAUGUGAAUUGCAGAAUUCAGUGAACCAUCGAAUCUUUGAACGCACAUUGCGCCCCCUGGUACCCCGGAGGGCAUGCCUGUUCGAGCGUCAUAUCUUCCCUCGGGGUCCCCGUUGGGGUUCCGGAGUUGGGCUCACGCGCUGCCCCUCAGCGGGCCGGUGCGGGCCUGAAACUUAACCGUGCGGUGGCCGCGCCGUCGGAUCGAGCGAACAAGGUUCUCGUGCCAUCGCUUCGUGUCCGGCUGGCCCGUGGUCCGCCCCCCGACUGUCGCCCUGCCCUCUCUUUGGGCACGCGGUGGCCGGGCCAGACUACCAGAUGACUGACCUCGGAUCAGGCAGGGAUACCCGCUGAACUUAAGCA